CCUGCCCCGGGGGUUGCAGCUAGAAAGCUGAGCUCUGCGGAGGGGGAGGGGCUGCAGGGUGACUCGGUGGCCCAGGGCCAAUGGCUAAUGAAUCACUCCUUGCUCUGUUAUGAAGCUUCCCUAGAAACCAGGGAGGAGUGGUUUUCCAAGAGCUUAGGGGUUGGCCGACGGGAGGAGGUUUGGGGAGAGAAGUGCAGCGUUCUCCACACUUGGUCCUCUGUCUCUCAUCGUCCCAUGAUCCUGACUUACAUCCUGUUCUCAUCAACCGUGAUCUAACUCAGAAAAUGUGUCAUUGUCAAGUGGACACGAGUAAUUCGGUUGGGUGGCAGCAGUGGACGUCAUUGAUGCCUGUUGGUGAGUCUCUGAGCAAAGAUCUACCUGGACCUACACUGAGAUGGCCUGUCCUCUUCUGGGUCCACACCUGGGUGGAAACGAAGAGCUCCCGACUCCUGCAAAAACCCACAGAUAACCUGAGGAAUCAAGUCUCUCCUGAUGGAAGAGAACAGCAAAACUUAGGAAGCAUCACUUCCAGACAUUUGGCACAUGGAUCCAAUCUAGGAUCCCGUGUUACAUACGUGUCAUGGCCGCUGACUGUACCACCCAUGUGGGGGAAGGUCCUACAUGUUUCCUGAUCUUUAGCGACCUAUUUGUGAAGAAUAGCGAUAUGUCACAGUGUGAACGAUAAUUACAGGGGCGACCUAUUUAUACUUCACAAGGAAGACCUUGAUUCUGAACAUCACCAUGAACUAUCAGUGCCGAAGCAGGGAUUAGAAAGCAUGCCGCAUUAGGACUGCUUCCAUCGAAUCUCACUCGUAACCUUGAACUUUUAAAAAUGUCAUAGAAACCGUUUGAUACAGAUUAUAAAUUAUACCUCUUUACCAAGCGUCGUCUGCGUUGCAACGUGUACGUACUCUAAUGUAACCUCAUUUUCCCUUCAGGGGGUAAUUUGGAGAUUAAUUCAAUUCCGUUUUAUUGCAUUUAUUUUAGCCAAGAGUCCGUCAUUUUGGGGUCUGAGCUCAGUUUUGCAAAGCUCUUGGAAAUGGCAAGAACAUGGCUGCUUUGUCACCGGUGUAUUCCUGAAAGCGAAUUUCUGCAUCCGGUACUUGGAAUACAUUCUUGAAAAGGAAUUUUGUCUUGGGAGUAAAGACAACUUUCAUGUGGCCAUGUUAACUGUAUUAGAAUAGAGUAGGGGAAUAGUACAAUCUCUUCUAUCUGCCUAGAAAAUGUCAUCUAAAUGGACUGGCAUGCGAGUUCCUUAAUCUUCGCAAAAAGUCAGCCUUUUUUUAUUAUUUUCUUCUGAAGAUAUCCUGAAAAUAUGAAUGGCUUGCAAGCAGGCCCUAGGGCUACCUGGGUGAGCAUUUUAUGGACCAAAUCUAAAUCCUUGGAAAAUUAUGGCUUGAAAAAAAAAAAAAAAAAGGAUCCUAUUUUGUUACUAUUCCUACUUUAUCUUCAGAGUACUCGAUCCAUGAAUGUUAAAUCCGGGGGCUCCUGGGUGGCUCAGUCAGUGAAGCAUCUGCCUUAGGCUCCCGUCCUGAUCCCAGGGUCCAGGGACCCCAUAUCGCACUCCCUGCUCAGCAAGGAGCCUGCUGCUUCCUCUGCCCCUCCCCAUGCUCAUACAUGGUCUCCCUCUCUGCCACAUAAAUGAAUAAAAUAUUUUUAAACCAUGGAACACCAAAUCCAAUUCGAAGAGUGUAGACCUGGUUCUUGGCUAUUAAUUAAGCUUUGGGAUUUCAUGGGUUUGCUUAUAAACCCAAGCAUGCAUUGGACAAAUAUUUAUUUGAUGCACCGGCCGGUAAGUCACGGGGAAGAUAGCAGCCAACAAAACCGUGCUCUGUGCACAGGGAGCUGAAGGUCCUGUGGGGGAGGUCAGGCGACAAUCCAGUAAGCACAUGGUGUGAUGGCAGGUUUCCCUGGUUCCAGACAUUCUAGCGAAACAAGGGGCCGGGAAAUUAGGGCUCACCACUCAUUUUUUGUCAGGGAAGCUUUACUGGAGUUCAUUCGUGCUCAUGCAUGUAUAUAUUGUCCAUUGAUGCUUUGGGCUGACUCAGCAGAGUUAAAGAUCCUGCUAUCAUUGACAUGGCCCAUGGUGUAAGUUGAAGGGAUACAAUGUGUCGACUUCAUACGUUUAUACGUUGCAACAAAAUAACCAGCAGCAUCGGAUUAGCUAACCGCUCCUUACAUGAUGUGAUUACAGUGUGUGUGUUGAGCACAUUUCAUAUCUACUGUCUUUGCAUUUGUAACAAUGUAUCGUACGGUAUGUGUUAACAAUGACAACCGUGCAGCUCUAGAUCCCCUGAACUUAUUUAACUCGGCAGUUGUGCCCUUUGGCCAAUGUUCAUGGCAGCAUUGUUCAUACUGGCUAGAAGCUGGGGGCAGUCCUCAGGCCUGUCCCUGGUGCAGAAAGACAAUGUGGCCCGUGGGUCUAAAGAAAUUAUAUUCUGCAACUGAGAGGACACAUCCCGAUACAAAGUUACAGCUGGGUGAGCCUGGAAAGCAUUAUGCUAAGUGAACGAAGCCCUACGCAGAAGGCCGAAUCUUAUAGGGUUUUUUUUUAUCUGAAAUUUCCAGCCAAGUCACAUCAGCGGAGGACUAGGAAUAAGUAGAUGAGUAUUUACCUGGGCUGGGUGUGGUCUUGGCGCAAGGCUACUUUUGGAAGGGACGUAACUUUUCUAAAAUGGGUUUGCGGUGAAGAUUGCACAACUGUAUAGAUUGACUAAAAAUCACUGAAUUGUAUCUUACAAUGGAUGAAAAUAUGGUGUGUAAAUUAAACCUCUAUGAAGUGCUAUAAAUGUGUUUUUUUUUUUUUAAUGGUGGCAGAGAUGCCCUGACCUACCAUGCCUAAAAUACCUACUAUCUGACCAUGUAUAGAAAUAGUUUGCCAACCCCUGGUGUUGCUUAAAUUUUAUUAUACAUCAAUGGGGGGGUCUCUCUGAGGACAUGAACUUUUAGCAACAGAGUCUACAAUUCAGUAUGAGAGAAAUCCGUGGAUAUAUUUGGGGAAAGAUGUUUUCCUAUUAAAAAAUAACCAAUAUGUGGUUUGUUUUGGGGACAAAAAAUAAAAGAAGGGAGGAAGGAAGCAUGUAGGAAUGUCAUGUGUCUGGGCCGGGUCCAUAUACAAGGGAACAUUAGGCCUCCAUCAGAAAGGACGAAUCCCCAACUUUUGUAGCAACCUGGACGGGACUGGAGGAGAUGAUGCUGAGUGAAAGAAGUCAAGCAGAGAGAGUCAGUUAUCAUAGGGUUUCACUGAUUUGUGGAGCAGAAGGAAUAACACAGAGGACAUGGGGAGAUGGAGAGGAGAAGUGAGUUGGGGGAAGUUGGAGGGGGAGAUGAAUCAUGAGAGACUGUGGACUCUGAGAAACAAAUUGAGGGUUUUGGAGGGGAGGUGGAGGGGGCGAUGCGUGAGCCUGGUUAUAGGUAUUGAGGACGGUGCAUAUUGCAGGGAGCACUGGGUGUGGUGCCUAAACAAUGAAUCUUGGAGCACUGUAAAAAUAAAAUUUAAAAAAAAAAAGUAAAAUGAAUAAAGUAAUUAAAUUUUAAAAUAAAGGCAGUUUAUAAUGUGCAUAAGAGAACCUGUUAUAAUGUGCAAAAGAUAACUUUUGAUUAGGAUUGCAGUGAAUCUCAACAGAUCAAGUUGGGACAAAUAGCCAUCUUGACAAUAUUGAGUUUUCCUAUCCAUGAACACGGAAUAUCUUCCCAUGUACUGUGUUCUCCUAUUAUUUUUCAUAGAGUUUUGUAGUUUUCCUCAUAUAGAUCCUGUGGUAGACGGUUUUGUUAGAUGUGUGGCAAAGUAUUUCAUUUUUCGGGCUCUCUGUGCUGCUUCAUUAUUGGUGUACAGAAAUGCAACAGAUUUCUGCAUAUUGAUUUUAGAUCCUGUGACUUUCUUGAAUCAACAGUACCAGUUUUAGCAAUUUUUUGAUGCACCUCAGGAAUAAAUCCCCCUUGAUCAUGUUGAGUGAUUUUUUUUAAACUGUAUUUUUGUGUUUGAUUUGCUAGUAUUUCAUUGGAGAAUUUUCUGUCCAUGUUCAUGUGGGAUUUUAGCCUGUAAGUUCUCUUUUACUGGUGUGUAUCUGGUUUGGGAUCAGGGUAAUACUGGCCUCAUUAAAUCAGCUUAGAAGUUCUCCUUUUUCUCUGUUUUGUUUUUUUGUUUUUAAUAGUUUGAGAAGAGUGCAUAUUAACUCUUCUUUAAAUAUUUAGUAGAAUUCACCUUUGAAGCCCUCUGCCCCUGGAUUUGUUGUUCUUGUUGUUGAGAGUUCUUUGGUUACUAAUUCAAUUUCUUUCCUGGCAAUCAGUCCGUUCAAGUUUUCUAGUUCUUCC
This is a long non-coding RNA of Mustela putorius furo (domestic ferret), 4314 nucleotides long. Lineage: Eukaryota; Metazoa; Chordata; Mammalia; Carnivora; Mustelidae. The record is from Ensembl.